Molecule: unclassified non-coding RNA, 240 nt
Filed under: soil metagenome
Description: partial contains 5.8S ribosomal RNA, internal transcribed spacer 2, and large subunit ribosomal RNA
Source: RNAcentral
AACAAGGCGUACCUGCGGACCUGCGGAGGGAUCAUUACCGAGGACCGGCCUCUCUUUUUGCGAGAGGUCCCUCUCACACCUUGAAGUUUUUGUUGACCUAUUUUGCUUCGGCGGGACGUGGUUUUUGGAGCUGCACGGUUUUUGUGACUGGCGGCUUGCGACCCCGUCGGCCCCUUUGCUGGGCGGAUGCGCGCCCGCCGAAGAAGUCCAGACUCUUUUGUUUUGUCAGUCAGAAAUUUU